Perognathus longimembris pacificus (Pacific pocket mouse) is the source of this 838-nucleotide long non-coding RNA. RefSeq lists it as uncharacterized. The transcript has 2 exons. Lineage: Eukaryota; Metazoa; Chordata; Mammalia; Rodentia; Heteromyidae. The record is from RefSeq and is a predicted model, not a curated record.
GCUCUCAGCUUGUUAUCUUGACAUUUUUUGCCUUUGAAGGGGUUAUAGAAUGACGGUGAUUGAAUCAGGGACAGUGUAUUUCACAAGAAUCCUUUGGGUCCUUCCAAAGUAUGUUCUUGUUGCCUUGGCUGUCAGUCCUGAGCAGAGGUGGGAGGAGGCCUGCAUGCCAGGGAGUGUGCAAAAGAAGUGAAUGCUUACAGAUCUUCAUCACUAUCUUCCACUAACACGAGUGGCUGCGUAGGAGGGGCUGGUGGUAUUAAAGGUAGAUGCUUUGUGUGUGUGUAUGUUUGGGAGGGGGGUGGUGUAUCAUAUUUGUGCACAAGGGGCUGUAGCCGGCUAGCUGUUUUAGAAGAGAUUCUAGUUCACCUCAUCUUUGGACAGAUUGGUUUUAUCUCCAUUCUCCAGAAGCCUGGCUUUGGUAUUAGGGUAACAAGAAUGAUUUUAUUUUUUUACUUUCUCUCCCCCCCCCCCUUCUCUUAUUCUCCUCUGAAAGACAUGAGUACAUACAUGCCUUUGUGGUCAGGCCUACUUUGAAAAAUGGUGCUGUGUUAAAAAGUUUGAUAGCCCCUGAUUAAGCUUGUCACUUGACAAAACCCAAGCCACCCUGGGUCUUGGAGUUGGGUGGGGAAUGGGUAGAAGAUGUUGGGCUGGCAAGGUUGCUGUAAAACGGGGGAUUGGACCAGGGAGAACUUUCCCAGGGUGCAACUUAGUGACUAUUGUUUUGUUGAUAAGUCUGAGGGAAAGAAUAUUAAGAAUUGAGGUUGUUCCUUCUGUCAUGAUUUCUAGAAGACUGUAUUAAAUUUGAAUAUGAUUCCCUACCCGCGCCCCCCACCCCCCA